AUGCUACCUCCCACACAUUCUUAUCUCGAGCUAGCCCUUGUUAGCAACUCAUUCCCUAUUCCCAUCUUUCCCCUUUGCCAAGAAAGAACACCUAGAAGCCCCAGAUCCACCUACCCCAACGGAGCCCGAGAGCGCGUCCAUGGAGACGUCGUGAAAAACAUCGUCACCGACCUCCACAAAGUGUCCAGAAGCGCCCUCGUGUCCGACUACGUCCAAGGCGUGCACUACAUCGAGCCGAGACGCCAAGACAAUGCCGCCUUCCUCCUCUUCUUCCUCUCUGACCCCCUGAUGUUUCCUUUGAUCUCGUCUGACUCCGUCCACGUAUCGGCAAGCGGAGCACACCGUUGUGCUCCCCAUCGACCAAAAUGGAAAGAGUUUUGA
RNAcentral lists this ribosomal RNA (381 nucleotides) under Triticum aestivum (bread wheat). Its description in RNAcentral is "partial small subunit ribosomal RNA". Lineage: Eukaryota; Viridiplantae; Streptophyta; Magnoliopsida; Poales; Poaceae. The record is from RNAcentral.